Molecule: long non-coding RNA, 1074 nt
Filed under: Ursus maritimus (polar bear)
Lineage: Eukaryota; Metazoa; Chordata; Mammalia; Carnivora; Ursidae
Description: lncRNA (ENSUMAG00000025649.1)
Source: RNAcentral
AUGCAAAUUCAGCCAGGGCUGGAAGUCAGGAAGUGGGUGACUUACUCCAUGCUCACCAGACAAGAACUUUCAACCAAUAAAGGAGUAAAGCACACAGAAAAAGGAUCAGAUUCAGAAUUGUACCACCUCUUGUACCACCUAUUGGGGAGAGAAAAUACUCACCUCAGGACUCUCUUGCCACAAGGGACCCCCGCCUGCACUUUUCUCUUCAAGCAAAGAACAGCUAUUCUAAUCACGGAUGAGAAAAUUUAUCGGUAAGAUGGGGAUAGUGGCUAUCAACAUACAUGAUAACAUGUAGAAAAGCACCUUACAUGCUAUUUAAGAACAGUUCACAGUUGCCUGGGUGGCUCAGUCGGUUAAGCGUUCAACUCUUGAUUUCAGCUCAGGUCAUGAUCUCAGGGUCCUGGGAUCGAGCCCCACGUUGGGCUCUGCACUGAGCAUAGAGCCUGCUUGAGAUUCUCUCUCUCCCUCCCCUCCAUCCCUCCCCUCACUCACACUCUCUCUCUCUCUAAAAAAAAAAAGAAUGCAAACAAUGAAUCAUGGAACACUACAUCAAAAACUAAUGAUGUACUAUAUGGUGACUAACAUAACAUAAUUUAAAAAAUUAAAGUAAAAAAUUUUUGAAAAGAACAGUUCAAAUGUUAGCUGCUGAUGUUCUUACAAUGUAUAAAAGCACAAGCAUAUUUUUAAACAAAUUUGAAUAAGAAAUAUUAGAUACAGAUGACAUUUGCUCUGAAUGACACAGACGCAUGUUAUGACAGACGUAUUUAGACACUGUUGGGAAUCAUUCUUUGGACUUAGCCAGUCAUCUUAAAUGGAAAGAAUCAGCCCUGAACAACUUACUUUCUUCAUGCUUAAAAAAAAUUAUUUAAGAAUUGGUGCUAUGUGGGGCUCCUGGGUGGCACCGUCGUUAAGCAUCUGCCUUCGGCUCAGGGCGUGAUCCCGGCGUUAUGGGAUCAAGACCCACAUCAGGCUCCUCCACUGGGAGCCUGCUUCUUCCUCUCCCACUCCCCCUGCUUGUGUUCCCUCACUCGCUGGCUGUCUCUGUCAAAUAAAUAAAAGAAAAGGCAAACA